UAAUAUAAUAAAGGACAAUUUCUCUUAAAAAAAAAAACGAAAGAUACUACAGUCGUUUCAAACGAUUCCGGUUCGAUACGUAUCUAUGAAUGAUCGAACCGCUGUUUUACCGGUCGCGAAUUUAAAACUGUGAGACAUUUGCAGACGCCAUUUCGAGAACAGGGUAGACACGCCCGGCAUUAAAGUUAUCUAGAACGAAAAAGUGUACAAACAGGGAGAACUUGAAAGAAUUUCAUGUGCGCCGAUAACUAAUGGGGAUGCGUCUUCGUUCGUUCUAUUUCCAGAACCCGCUCCGCAUGAAUCAACACAGAAAUAACCUUUCACAAACGGUAUGUGAAAAUUAUUAUUAUCAACACAUUCGCUCAAAUCCACGUACCGUGAACGGUGAUCUCACUGUACAGAUUAUAAUCUUCACCGGUUGUUAUUAUUCGAGAGUUGAAAAUGUAGACAAAACACCGAUUGUUGCAACGACACGAGUACCAAGUUUAAUCGUACAGACUCGGCGAACGUUCAACGAGCGACUGCGAGAGGGAUCGGGGACGGAGCGGGACGGGCAGGACGAGUGGAGCGGAGGGCGGCGCGGUUCGGCGUGGCUACCAGGCGUGUACCAAGAUAGGGAAUAGGGAUGCCCCAUCAUUUACAUCACGCAAAUAUCGGGCAGCAGAUUGUGAUGCCAAAUAUUAAUUACGAUAAUUAUUUAAACUCUUCAUGACACAACUGUCACCAUUACAGACUCUCGGGAAAAUUUCAAUUACUGGAAUAUAGAGAUAGCAGCGUGGAUUUUAUCAGCUACUCUGUGACAUGAAGUCGAAGGUUCAAUUGUCUUGAAAUCGGCGUCAUUGCUUCGCGACAGUAAUUGGCAGGAUUGUAUCUUGUGCGAACUAAGAACACGUCCUACCAUCAUUUAAUGCAGUUUGCGACGAACAUUACCCAGUAGAAAACGUUUGUUAUAAUUACAACGAGAGUGGAGCGAGCUGCUGGCGAUCACUGCAGCGAUUACUGCCGGCAUGUAACGGUGACGCCGAUGGAAUGCAACUCGGCCAUUGUUCCCUUCAAUACGAAGUAAAAAAAAAAGAAAACUCAAAAGAGCCAUAAUAUAACCGCAUUCUAGAGUGGUCGUGUCUGCAGAGUGUUCGACAGGAUUACUUUUACGAUUGAAUUAAAUAUAAGUUAUUGAAAGAUAAUAAUGAAAUAUCAAAUAUUGUCUAACGAUUACGAAUAAGCUUAUGUGUAAAUGGGAAAAAUAUAUUUCAUCCCGCAGUGAAAAGUAGGUUAAUAACCAGAUAAAAUAUCAGCAACGAUAUUACAGCAUUCGCGUUCUAGCAUUGGCCAAGUGUCAAUGAUCCCGCGAUAUAAGCCGACAGACAUAUUACUGUGUGCGGUCUAGUACGAAACCAAUUGAAAUUAUUGUUCGUGUGGAUUUGAAUAAUUCAGUUGGCCAAUUGUAUUUCUGGAAAAGGUAUCAAUUUCAUUUAGAAUAGGAAUAGAAAAAACUUCAUGCAUCGAUUUACGAUUAUUGCGCAAGAAUCGAAUCACGAUCAAAAAACGGAUUCUGUAGCUGUACCACCGACCUUAGACGAAAACAAAAACCGACAUCAUUAUAAAAAGUGUUUGUUUUAAAUUUGAACAAGAUUUUUGUUUUUGAAACUACACUAAAAAAAACAAGUCUACGUUGAGGAACAAAACUUGAAGAAAACAAAACUAACUCAUCUGAAAAACAGAAAAAAACAUAUUUUUUUUACAUUUUUCUAUUCAUGCAUAAUGUGUAAACAUGACAAUUUACCAGGUCAAUUGUAGUGACGAGGCCUCCUUUGCUUGUCAUGCAUGAUUCAUGCUCUAACUCACAUAAAUAUAUCCUGUCUAACGCACAUCACGUCGACAUAUUUAUGGAAGACGGCUGACGAACUAAGUGAAACUUGAAAUGGUCACUUGAAUGUUUUCAAUUAAAAUUGAUUGAUUCUAAAACUAGUACAUCAAGUCCAUACGCCCACAGUUUCUAUAAAUACAUUUAUGAAU
Long non-coding RNA from Bombyx mori (domestic silkworm), 2016 nucleotides. RefSeq lists it as uncharacterized. The transcript has 5 exons. Lineage: Eukaryota; Metazoa; Arthropoda; Insecta; Lepidoptera; Bombycidae. The record is from RefSeq and is a predicted model, not a curated record.